Molecule: ribosomal RNA, 462 nt
Filed under: uncultured bacterium
Lineage: Bacteria
Description: partial 16S ribosomal RNA
Rfam family: Bacterial small subunit ribosomal RNA
Source: RNAcentral
GAUGAACGCUGACAGAAUGCUUAACACAUGCAAGUCAUUGGCGAAGCUGCGCUUGCGCAGUCUAGCCAAGGCGGACGGGUGAGUAACGCGUAAGGAACUUGCCCUGCAGACAGGGAUAACAGACGGAAACGACUGAUAACACCUGGUAUUGUCAGGCUGGCGCAUGCCGGCCUGAUGAAAGGAGACGCUGCAGGAGAGCCUUGCGUCCUAUUAGCUAGUUGGUGGGGUAACGGCCCACCAAGGCGAUGAUAGGUAGCCGGCCUGGGGGGGGGAACGGCCACAGGGGGACUGAGAUACGGCCCUUACUCCUACGGGAGGCAGCAGGGGGGAAUAUUGGACAAGGGGGGCAACCCUGAUCCAGCAAUUCUGUGUGCACGAAGAAGGUUUUCGGAUUGUAAAGUGCUUUCAGCAGGGAAGAAGAAAGUGAGGGUACCUGCAGAAGAAGCGACGGCUAAAUACGUG